Molecule: ribosomal RNA, 752 nt
Filed under: uncultured bacterium
Lineage: Bacteria
Description: bacterial SSU rRNA
Rfam family: Bacterial small subunit ribosomal RNA
Source: RNAcentral
AGAGUUUGAUCCUGGCUCAGAACGAACGCUGGCGGCAUGCCUAACACAUGCAAGUCGAACGUGAUCCGGGGCUUGCUCCGGUGAAAGUGGCGGACGGGUGAGUAACGCGUGGGAACCUGCCCAGUGGUCGGGGAUAACUGCGGGAAACUGCAGCUAAUACCCGGUAAGCCCUAUGGGGGAAAGAUUUAUCGCCAUUGGAGGGGCCCGCGUCGGAUUAGGUCGUUGGUGGGGUAAUGGCCUACCAAGCCUACGAUCCGUAGCUGGUCUGAGAGGAUGAUCAGCCACACUGGGACUGAGAUACGGCCCAGACUCCUACGGGAGGCAGCAGUGGGGAAUAUUGGACAAUGGGCGCAAGCCUGAUCCAGCAAUGCCGCGUGAGUGAAGAAGGCCUUAGGGUUGUAAAGCUCUUUCGGCGGGGACGAUGAUGACGGUACCCGCAGAAGAAGCCCCGGCUAACUCCGUGCCAGCAGCCGCGGUAAUACGGAGGGGGCUAGCGUUGUUCGGAAUUACUGGGCGUAAAAGGGCGCGUAGGCGGCGCGAUAAGUUAGGCGUGAAAGGCCCGGGCUCAACCCGGGGACUGCGCUUGAUACUGUCGCGCUGUGAGUCCGGGAGAGGAUGGCGGAAUUCCCAGUGUAGAGGUGAAAUUCGUAGAUAUUGGGAAGAACACCGGGCGAAGGCGGCCAUCUGGACCGGCACUGACGCUGAGGCGCGAAAGCGUGGGGAGCAAACAGGAUUAGAUACCCUAGUAGUCC